Molecule: ribosomal RNA, 450 nt
Filed under: Streptococcus sp. oral taxon 064
Lineage: Bacteria; Bacillati; Bacillota; Bacilli; Lactobacillales; Streptococcaceae
Description: bacterial SSU rRNA
Rfam family: Bacterial small subunit ribosomal RNA
Source: RNAcentral
GACGAACGCUGGCGGCGUGCCUAAUACAUGCAAGUAGAACGCUGAAGAGAGGAGCUUGCUCUUCUUGGAUGAGUUGCGAACGGGUGAGUAACGCGUAGGUAACCUGCCUGGUAGCGGGGGAUAACUAUUGGAAACGAUAGCUAAUACCGCAUAAUAGUAGAUGUUGCAUGACAUUUACUUAAAAGGUGCAAUUGCAUCACUACCAGAUGGACCUGCGUUGUAUUAGCUAGUUGGUGAGGUAACGGCUCACCAAGGCGACGAUACAUAGCCGACCUGAGAGGGUGAUCGGCCACACUGGGACUGAGACACGGCCCAGACUCCUACGGGAGGCAGCAGUAGGGAAUCUUCGGCAAUGGACGGAAGUCUGACCGAGCAACGCCGCGUGAGUGAAGAAGGUUUUCGGAUCGUAAAGCUCUGUUGUAAGAGAAGAACGAGUGUGAGAGUGGAAAG